UUCAUAUUCUUAACGCAAUGCUUCACACAGCAGAUUCUAAGAAGUUUAUAGCCGAUCGAGACAACUCGUCAAUCGAACUAACAUUUCAAACAUUCAUCGCCCAAGAUCAAAAUCGGCUUUAGAAAUCCUUUACAAUGAGCUCACUCAGAACAAACUCCAGGCAAUCAACACACACUGGAUGCAAGCAGUAGAACGAAUUGCGUACAAAGAGCGUCGAGAGCGUUCAAGACUAUCGUUUGAAAUCAUCGAUAAACCUCGUCGGUUUACAGCGCUAAGAUCAUCAUAUCAGAAUUAAAUUCUCCAAAGGGGCGAAUUCAAAACAAAUCCCAGAAAUAAUCACAAAACAGCGAGAAGACGACUAGGGAAAUAACCAGAAAACAUACAAUUUUCUAAAGAUAUAAUAU
RNAcentral lists this long non-coding RNA (404 nucleotides) under Linum usitatissimum (flax). Its description in RNAcentral is "long non-coding RNA (LUSI_LNC003550)". Lineage: Eukaryota; Viridiplantae; Streptophyta; Magnoliopsida; Malpighiales; Linaceae. The record is from RNAcentral.